Molecule: ribosomal RNA, 253 nt
Filed under: uncultured bacterium
Lineage: Bacteria
Description: partial 16S ribosomal RNA
Rfam family: Bacterial small subunit ribosomal RNA
Source: RNAcentral
UACGUAGGGACCAAGCGUUGUUCGGAUUUACUGGGCGUAAAGGGCGCGUAGGCGGCAAUUCAAGUCAGCUGUGAAAUCUCCGGGCUUAACUCGGAACGGUCAGCUGAUACUGCUUUGCUAGAGUGCAGAAGGGGCAAUCGGAAUUCUUGGUGUAGCGGUGAAAUGCGUAGAUAUCAAGAGGAGCACCUGAGGUGAAGACGGGUUGCUGGGCUGACACUGACGCUGAGGCGCGAAAGCUAGGGUAGCAAACGGG